GGCCCUUAUGUCAUUCAAAUAACACACACACACAACACACACACAAUAAGACAGACAGCUGUUCUGGCCCUUAUGUCAUUCAAAUAACACACACACACACACACACAAUAAGUUGACACGUUUGUUGAUGUCCAAAUAUUUAUUUGGUGCUUUUUCGUAAUACCAUGUGCUGAGACCUUACAGUCACCUCUCUGAUUAAAUAACUAAAAGCCUGAAUGCCCCGGAUGUUACAUGCAUAGUAAAGUGCCCAUACUAUAAUAUGUGCUCUGACAAUGAAAAUAUAUAGAGUUUGAAAACCAGACAGCUCAUCUAGAACAUAGCAGUCAGGAGGUUAACAGUUGAUAAUAUUCAUACGAUAUCAAUAUGUACAGUAUGUUUCAACAGCUUUCCUUCAAAACUCCCCGGAUCCAUAUUUCUCUGUAUGGACCAAGUGAUGCAAGUCUUUCUCAGGCAGUAAAGUGUGUGACAGCGCAUCUCUGUCCCUCAUAAACACACACAAUACCAUCUCUGUCCCCCGCAGACUUAGGCUGGACAAACGACAUGGAGGUGAUUCAAACCCUUCUCAGAACUUUUAGGGGUUUAAAAAAAGUUGUUUGGCAAAGCAUUAAAGGUUUCCUCUUGGAACUCUCCGUGGAACUCUUUCAUCAGUCAGCGUUAGCAGAGAACGUCUCAAGAAACUUAAACGGCCUCCUGUGUGUGUGUGUGUGUGUGUGAGAGAACGUCUCAAGAAACUUAAACGGCCUCCUUGUAGAACCUGUAAUGGUUCUUUGGCUCAGCCCCACUGAAUGAAUCAUGUAGGUGAAAAUUAAAACCAUAUAAUAAUAAUAAUAAUAAUAAAUAAUAAUUCAUUUUAUUUGUAAUGCACUCUUCAUUCAGAAGAAUCUCAGAGUGCGAUAUAGGUUCAAUUUAGAACUGUUCUUCUCAGAACCCAUUGCAACUGUUUUGACCAACAGUUUUAUAGCUAAAUAAAUAUUGUAAAGGAGUAAAUACACAAGCAAGGGUAGGUGUCAGAAGUAGAACCUUUCAAUGUUCCUCUGUGGUGAACAAGUCAGGUUGACUCCUGCUUGUCCGUGUAUCUAAGUUCAAGUCCAGAUCGUGUAUAGGGCUCAAUGGAAGAAGCUGAGUUCUCUUGAGAGACGUAGAUGAAAGGUGGUUACUUUGGUGCGCUAAACUGGUUGUCUUUGGAGAAAUCAAAGAUGCCCGAGGUCACAGACAACACAGGAAGCCUCCUCGUAUAAGAGCUGCUUUGGGAUUGCAUCUGUCAUGUAAACGACACAGAGCGGGGAACCCAGAUACAGUGUAAAUACACUCAUCUGAGAAAGAUGUUGUUUUUCCCCUAAAUAAUGCAGAUACCAUCGACACAGAGACUCAGGCAUAAAUAGUGACCUGGGAUUACUUAAAAAUAUCUGAUAAUGUGCUUGAUUCAAAAUACUUCAUGUGGCUAUGAUACAGAUUUUAAAAACUGACAUCAGAAAUAUUGCUCAAACAGAAAAAAAUUAUCUUUUCAUAUAAUACCAUAAUAUUGUGUCCCUCACCAUGUUGAUAGUGUACUCCAGCUGGCCAAUGAAAUGAUAUCAACAAACAUUUUCACAAUCAUGCAACCGAACAUUUUCAUUUGAUGUCAUGACGUGUCUCUUAACCUAAGUAAAAGCACAGUCUUUACUCAGUAUCUAUUGAACAGAUGGGCUUUUAGAGGACAAGCUGUGUCUUCAUAGGGUUGAUUAAGUUGCAUGUUGAACUCCAGCCAUUGUUGCAUCAAUACUAACAAGUUGGUCAAAUGGUAAUCAAUUCUAGGCUGUAUACUUGUAAAGCGUUUGGCACACCUCUGUGGACACGGUAUAUACGGUCUCCGCACAUGAUGCAAAUGUUGUCAUCCGCACAUCCGGACAUGUCUGUAUUGACUGUGCAUUCGUGAAACUGAGCGUGCAGCAGUUCCCAUGUGCUCAGUACAAUAAGGUGGUAGGUCACACAUGAGUGAGUUUGUCUGUUUCCGCUUGUCCGCAACAGCACACAAAUGAGUAUCCUUUCGGGAUACACCAAAGCGCAUGUCCAUACCCGUACUGCAUAAAGCCGUGUCCGCAGAAGCGUACCUCGGCCAUUAAGCGUCUAUGUUGAUACCAUGUAAUAUCUCACAUGCUCCACUAGGUGGCACUGUGGUCACAUUCGGAAGUUGUACAGUUGACAGCAUUUCCUGUGAUGGCCAGCAAGGCCAGACAUUUGAGCUGUUUCAUGAGGGUACUCAACACAUGGUGAGCUAAACAUCCACACACACAGAGGCACAAGAUAGACAAAACUUACAUCUCUGACAAUACUGUGGGACACACAAACACACACAUUUGUAUGCACCCCCCCCCCCCACACACACACACACACACACACACACACACACUUAGACGUACACUGGACAUCGCUUUGGUCUGAUGAACAGCAACACUGAUGACAUCAGUAAUGGGUGCCAGUGGCUCAUCCAUAUUCAGGCAGUGUCUCUGAGACAGGUGGCCGCUCAGGUGGGCAGCUCCUGCUGGUGUCCUCACCAUGGCCGUCUGUGCUCACCGUGGCCGUCUGUGCUCACCACCGCCGUCUGUGCUCACCACCGCCGUCUGUGCUCACCGUGGCCGUCUGUGCUCACCACCGCCGUCUGUGCUCCCAGACACUGUUGUGCUCUUCAGUUCCAUCGGAGAGAAUACUGAACCUUACUGUAUGCAGCACUGCAGCCUGUGGUCCUGUGCCAGUCCAUUUUGUUUUUGCUGUGAAAAGCGCAGUGAUUAGCGCUCCACGUUAGCGCUUCACGUUAGCGCUUCACUUCAGCCCUUUCUGUCUUCCUUGGAAUGUAGUGAGUCAUGGCACUGACCCAGCACACACACUCUCCUGGUCUGAACCGGUCUGCAGUGUACCAGCACACACACACACACACACACUCCUGGUCUGCAGCGUACCAGCACACACACACACUCCUGGUCUGAACCAGCACACACACACUCCUGGUCUGAACCAGUCUGCAGCGUACCAGCACACACACACACACACACACACACACACACACACACACACACACACUCCUGGUCUGCAGCAUACCAGCACACACACACACUCCUGGUCUGAACCAGCACACACACACUCCUGGUCUGAACCAGCACACACACACACUCUCCUGGUCUGAACCAGUCUGCAGCGUACCAGCACACACACACUCCUGGUCUGAACCAGCACACACACUCCUGGUCUGAACCGGUUUGCAGCAUACCAAUACUAACCCUAACCAAUACAAACACCCAAAAAUCUACACUGCACGGACACUUCUGACACUUUGUAGUACUAGAAGACAGUUUGUGUUAAACAGACUAAUGAACACGUUUAGAGUGUAGAUAUAUUAAGCGUAUAUAAAGUAUAUAAAGUGACUUGUUAUUGUGUCUGUGUCAUGGGCACCUUAUUGCUGACUCCUCCCCCCGGAGGCCUGGUCGGUGUGCUUUGAUCUGAAAUGUCCAGUUUCUACCUGCUCUGGGUACCGGUUGCAUUUGAGGGUGUGUUUGUGUGUGUGUGAGGGUGUAUUUAUGUGUGAGUGUGUGUGUUUGUGUGUGUGUGAGUGUGUGUAUUUGUGUGUUUGUGUGUAUUAGUGUGUUUGUGUGUGAAGGUGUGUUUGUGUGUGUGUGAGAGUGUAUUUGUGUGUUUGUGUGUUUGUGUGUGAGUGUGUGUGAGGGUGUGUUUGUGUGUGUGUGUGUGUGUGUGUGUGAAAGGGUGUGUGUGUGUGUGUGUGAAAAGGUGUGUGUGUGUGUGUGUGUGUGUGAAAGGGUGUGUUUGUGUGUGAGUGUGAGUGUGUGUGUGUGUGUGUGUGUGUGUGUGUGUGUGUGUGUGUGUGUGUGAAAGGGUGUGUUUGUGUGUGAGUGUGGGACCCAGAGAGAGACAAAGGGAAAGGCAUAUAAACAGCAUCAGUGAGAGAGACAGAGAGAGAGAGAGAGAGAGAAUGUGUGUGUGUGUGUGUGUGUGUGUGUGUGUGUGUGUGUGUGUGUGUGUGUGUAGAUGCCAGUAUGCACUCUUGAGACUUUAGAGACGUCAGCUUCAAAGACUUGAUUCAGGUUCAGCCCCCCCCACACACACACACACGCAAACACACCAAAGGCCCACACACACACACACAGGCCCACAUUGAGAACAUUGUGUUCCCUGGUGCUGAGUGUGUGUCUCGUAUGUGUCAUGAACUGAACCCCUCAGAGUGGCAGUGUCCUUCCAUCAUCACACACACACACACACACACACACACACACACACACACACACACACACACACACACACACACACACACACACACACACACAC
Clupea harengus (Atlantic herring) is the source of this 4314-nucleotide long non-coding RNA. The record is from Ensembl. Lineage: Eukaryota; Metazoa; Chordata; Actinopteri; Clupeiformes; Clupeidae.